Meriones unguiculatus (Mongolian gerbil) is the source of this 1781-nucleotide long non-coding RNA. RefSeq lists it as uncharacterized. The record is from RefSeq and is a predicted model, not a curated record. Lineage: Eukaryota; Metazoa; Chordata; Mammalia; Rodentia; Muridae. The transcript has 3 exons.
GAUCCCUGACUGGGAUCCAGACUCAGCAUUCAAAAACAAGAACUCUUUGAGUCCACAUCAGCAUUCAGGCCUGUGACCUCGGUGCUGGAGAGAUGGGAAGAGGAAGGUCAAGGUCCUCCUCAAGAAGUGAGCGAGGAGCAACAGGAUGAAGAGAGGAUGCAAUGAAUAUUCAGAAGUUCCGUGCCAACACCCAUUGCCUCUCUGUUCUGCUGCCAAGGAGUCCAGUUGUAUGCCUUCUAGAUGCUACACCACACCCUUCUCUGGACGGACCUCACAAGAGGAACUGUUCCCAGGGCUCCUCGGUAGACAGAGAGAGCAGAGGAGCACUGAGUAACCCAGGUAUCCACGGAGGUGACAACUCUGCCCAGAUAAAGGCGGGAACACAUUGUCGCUCCUUGAAGGUGAAGCUCACUCAAGUGUCUUGUCCCCUCGGGGCUGGAAAUCUGAAGUCUGUAAUGGAAGUUUUAGUUUAUUUGUAAACGCAGAUAUCUUAUAAAAUAUAUUUUUGUUUUCAUCCCAAGUGCGGGGUUUCAGUUGGGCUACAGUUUGUCCACAGCUGUUGUCCUGCGUGGGGCGUGGCUCUUGCCACAGGCUGCACAGAGAGGGGCAUGGUCUAGGACUCCGAGGAUAUAAAUAUGGAGCCCAGAAAGUGAAUUGGUGGUGUGCAGUGUUGACCUGUGACUGGUAGCAGUUUGGAGAGACCAGGGAGAUAGACCAUGUGGAGGUUUGGAGCAGACAGAUAGAAACGCUUUGGGGUGCAGCAGUUUGGAGGAGACUGCUAGCUGUGUCUGCAGUUGACAAAGAUUGGUAUAGCCCCCAUAGACCCUUUGCCCCCAAACAGCAAGAGAGAUAAAGGGGCCCUCUGCCCCCACUAACCUUCUCUCUUCUACUAAGGGCUGGGAGGUUGGAAAGGAGGUUGAGGCCUAAACACCCCAAAUAAAGCAGAGUUUUAAAAACAAGCGCUACAGAAGGGGACAAGGAGGCUGACAAUCUCCCAUCUCCCAUAGGGGAGGACUCCUCAUAGGACAACUAGCAAACAGGAAGCACCGUCUUCCUCCCCCAGUCUUCCAGCCCUGCCCUCUUCCCCCUCCCAAGCCCGUGCUCCCCACUGCCAAGUCUAAUAAGAAGCCUGCUGGCAAAAAAGAAAGUAGUUUGUGGAACCCCAGACUGAGCCUCACAGACAGCAGAAGAGAGGCGUUGUAGCCUUUGGGGAGACAGCUGGGGUGCUCACCACCACCCCGGGGACUGACAGGGUUUGCCUUCAGCUAUGGAUGGAGUCCCCACCAGAAAGAAGAGCAGAUCUAAUGCUGCUGCUGAGGGAAUGAACACCCUGCACCAGAAUGAUGCGUUCCUUCGUCCUUUUAGGGAGCCAGACCUCCGUCCCCUGGAGCUGGGAUAAGUUAACUGGGAAGGAGGAUGAAGGAGAGGGAGACACCUAGGCCAACUUUCCAUUUUGCGUGAUGGGAGGAGUUAGAGGCACAUGCUGCUGAGCCUGCACUGGGGCACAGCGCGAUGGUGAGUUGGUAAGUCAAGCCGCCUGCUGUACAAGCAUGAGGGCCUCCGUGUGGGUCCUCAGCACCCACGAAAAAGAUGGGUGCAGUAGUGUGUAUCUAUAACCCCGUACUGUGGAGGCAGAGACAGGCAUAUCCCGAGAACCUGCUGGUCAACCACUCUAGCCUGAACUGCAGUCUCUGGGUCAGUGAGCACUGGUCUCAGUACCCAUGGGUCAACCCUUCCUUAGCCUUACCAGCAUGGAAGCAUCCAGAAGCUAUCCUGGUUUA